ACACAUGCAGUCGAGCGGCAGCGACAACAUUGAACCUUCGGGGGAUUUGUUGGGCGGCGAGCGGCGGACGGGUGAGUAAUGCCUGGGAAAUUGCCCUGAUGUGGGGGAUAACCAUUGGAAACGAUGGCUAAUACCGCAUGAUAGCUUCGGCUCAAAGAGGGGGACCUUCGGGCCUCUCGCGUCAGGAUAUGCCCAGGUGGGAUUAGCUAGUUGGUGAGGUAAGGGCUCACCAAGGCGACGAUCCCUAGCUGGUCUGAGAGGAUGAUCAGCCACACUGGAACUGAGACACGGUCCAGACUCCUACGGGAGGCAGCAGUGGGGAAUAUUGCACAAUGGGUGCAAGCCUGAUGCAGCCAUGCCGCGUGUAUGAAGAAGGCCUUCGGGUUGUAAAGUACUUUCAGCAGUGAGGAAGAAGGUAUCGUUAAUAGCGGUAUCUUUUGACGUUAGCUGCAGAAGAAGCACCGGCUAACUCCGUGCCAGCAGCCGCGGUAAUACGGAGGGUGCGAGCGUUAAUCGGAAUUACUGGGCGUAAAGCGCAUGCAGGUGGUUUGUUAAGUCAGAUGUGAAAGCCCGGGGCUCAACCUCGGAAUUGCAUUUGAAACUGGCAGGCUAGAGUACUGUAGAGGGGGGUAGAAUUUCACGUGUAGCGGUGAAAUGCGUAGAGAUCUGAAGGAAUACCGGUGGCGAAGGCGGCCCCCUGGACAGAUACUGACACUCAGAUGCGAAAGCGUGGGGAGCAAACAGGA
This 746-nucleotide ribosomal RNA is filed under the name uncultured bacterium. Its description in RNAcentral is "bacterial SSU rRNA". It matches the Rfam family "Bacterial small subunit ribosomal RNA", at positions 51 to 777 of the family's 1533-position model. The record is from RNAcentral.